Molecule: long non-coding RNA, 675 nt
Organism: Eriocheir sinensis (Chinese mitten crab)
Lineage: Eukaryota; Metazoa; Arthropoda; Malacostraca; Decapoda; Varunidae
Exons: 2
Source: RefSeq, a predicted model, not a curated record
GGGGUAGGAAGAGGGGGCGAAAGGCUGGAGAAUCAGAGGAAGAGGAGGAAUAAGGAAUGCAUAAGAAGGCGAAGAGAGGGAGGAAGAGGAGUCAGAAAGGGGUAGGAAAAGGGGGCAAAGGAUUGGUUGAGAAUCAGAGAUGGAGUUGGAGAAAGAAGAGGAAGAAGAAUCCAAAAAGAAGAGACAAAGAGAGAGAAGGCUUAGAAGAGGAGUAGGAAUAGAAUAAAGAAGAGGAAGAGGAGUCAGAAAGGGAUAGUGGAGAGCUGUUGGAGAAGAGAGUCAGAGAAGAAGAAAGAGGAGGAAGAGAAGGAAUGCAAAAGGAGAAGAGGGGAGAGAAGUGGAGGUCAGGGGAAUGGGGGAGGAGGAGGAGGUUAAGGAAGGAGAAGUGUCGUGUAAAAAUAAAAGGAAUGGAAUGGCGGCAUCCGAAAGGCGAAGAAGAAUUGGGAAAACAAAAGAAAGAUGAAAAUUUCGGAGGAACGGACCUAAAAAUGUGAAGAAGAAAAGAAGGAAUAUCAAGAGAAGGAGCAGGAGGAGGAAAGAAGGAAAAGAAAGAAUGAAAAAGGAGGAGAAAUAAAAGGAAAAGAGGAGAAAACGCACAGUAGUAUAAAAGAGAGGGAAGAAAACAAGGAAAAAAGAAUGAAAAAGGAGGAGAAAUAAAAGGAAAAGAGGAGAAAA